This 433-nucleotide ribosomal RNA is filed under the name uncultured bacterium. Its description in RNAcentral is "partial 16S ribosomal RNA". It matches the Rfam family "Bacterial small subunit ribosomal RNA", at positions 29 to 507 of the family's 1533-position model. The record is from RNAcentral.
AACGAACGCUGGCGGCAUGCCUAACACAUGCAAGUCGAACGAGACCUUCGGGUCUAGUGGCGCACGGGUGCGUAACGCGUGGGAACCUGCCCUUAGGUUCGGAAUAACUCCCCGAAAGGGGCGCUAAUACCGGAUAAUGUCUUCGGACCAAAGAUUUAUCGACUUUGGAUGGGCCCGCGUUGGAUUAGCUAGUUGGUAGGGUAAAAGCCUACCAAGGCGACGAUCCAUAGCUGGUCUGAGAGGAUGAUCAGCCACACUGGGACUGAGACACGGCCCAGACUCCUACGGGAGGCAGCAGUGGCGAAUAUUGGACAAUGGGCGAAAGCCUGAUCCAGCAAUGCCGCGUAAGUGAUGAAGGCCUUAGGGUUGUAAAGCUCUUUUACCCGGGAUGAUAAUGACAGUACCGGGAGAAUAAGCGCCGGCUAACUCCGUG